This 1057-nucleotide ribosomal RNA is filed under the name uncultured Cryobacterium sp. RNAcentral describes it as "bacterial SSU rRNA". It matches the Rfam family "Bacterial small subunit ribosomal RNA", at positions 337 to 1393 of the family's 1533-position model. The record is from RNAcentral. Lineage: Bacteria; Bacillati; Actinomycetota; Actinomycetes; Micrococcales; Microbacteriaceae.
UCCUACGGGAGGCAGCAGUGGGGAAUAUUGCACAAUGGGCGCAAGCCUGAUGCAGCAACGCCGCGUGAGGGACGAAGGCCUUCGGGUUGUAAACCUCUUUUAGUAGGGAAGAAGCGACUGGGUUUUCCUGGGAGUGACGGUACCUGCAGAAAAAGCACCGGCUAACUACGUGCCAGCAGCCGCGGUAAUACGUAGGGUGCAGCGUUGUCCGGAAUUAUUGGGCGUAAAGAGCUCGUAGGCGGUUUGUCGCGUCUGCUGUGAAAACCCGAGGCUCAACCUCGGGCCUGCAGUGGGUACGGGCAGACUAGAGUGCGGUAGGGGAGAUUGGAAUUCCUGGUGUAGCGGUGGAAUGCGCAGAUAUCAGGAGGAACACCAAUGGCGAAGGCAGAUCUCUGGGCCGUAACUGACGCUGAGGAGCGAAAGCAUGGGGAGCGAACAGGAUUAGAUACCCUGGUAGUCCAUGCCGUAAACGUUGGGAACUAGAUGUGGGGACCAUUCCACGGUCUCCGUGUCGCAGCUAACGCAUUAAGUUCCCCGCCUGGGGAGUACGGCCGCAAGGCUAAAACUCAAAGGAAUUGACGGGGGCCCGCACAAGCGGCGGAGCAUGCGGAUUAAUUCGAUGCAACGCGGAGAACCUUACCAAGGCUUGACAUAUACCGGAAACGGCUGGAAACAGUCGCCCCGCAAGGUCGGUAUACAGGUGGUGCAUGGUUGUCGUCAGCUCGUGUCGUGAGAUGUUGGGUUAAGUCCCGCAACGAGCGCAACCCUCGUCCUAUGUUGCCAGCACGUAAUGGUGGGAACUCAUGGGAUACUGCCGGGGUCAACUCGGAGGAAGGUGGGGAUGACGUCAAAUCAUCAUGCCCCUUAUGUCUUGAGCUUCACGCAUGCUACAAUGGCCGGUACAAAGGGCUGCGAUACCGCAAGGUGGAGCGAAUCCCAAAGAGCCGGUCUCAGUUCGGAUUGAGGUCUGCAACUCGACCUCAUGAAGUCGGAGUCGCUAGUAAUCGCAGAUCAGCAACGCUGCGGUGAAUACGUUCCCGGGCCUUGUACACACCGC